Molecule: long non-coding RNA, 6945 nt
Organism: Cyanistes caeruleus (blue tit)
Lineage: Eukaryota; Metazoa; Chordata; Aves; Passeriformes; Paridae
Source: RefSeq, a predicted model, not a curated record
AUGAUUUAGUGACACAAUCAAGUAGUCAAAGGCUUCUGUGGGAACUGAGGAAAUAUAAGCAUAGUUUUGUUCUUAUUCUUGUUAUGGGAGGAUCAGACACAGGGGAAAAAGAGGCCAUCAAUGUGGACUCCGACUUUUAGGGGAUGGAAGAGGGAAUGUUUUUUGACUAAAAUAACAAGGGUUGUUGUCCCGAAUGAAAGAAUGAAUGGAGAGAAUGUGGCAAUUCUCUGAACAUUGAAAUUUUCUGAGUUGGGCUCUAUUUUUUCAUAUCUUUAGAUUCCUUGCUAGCUUGGAUUUUAAAAACCUUAAUCAUUUUUAUUUCUCUGGAUUCAGAUUUCUCUAUCAUCCCCACUGGACUCCAAAUUAUAUUGCCUCCUUCUUUCACUCUCCAAGUUUAUGCACUGCUUUGUCUUCCCAAAUGCUGUUUUCCAAGUUCCAAUUAGAUUAAGGGCUUGUCUGCACAGGAAAGUUACACUACUAUUAAUUUGCAGUUUGCUUUAAAGAAAUUAUGUUAAACCUGGGCAGAAGGCCAUGUGGACUCCCUGGUAUUCCUCUGCUGGAAUACAAAUGGCUUAUUUCAGGUUAGAGCAGGUCAAUUAGGAACAGGAAGAACUUGCAAAGCAGUGCGUUUUCCUACAUCAGAACAAGGAGUCCAGCAGCUCCUUCUGCAGAUUGUAACCUCCAAAUGGGAAGAAAGGCUGGGGGCAUGGUCUUGACCUGUGCAGGAGCGACAAUCUGCUGGACAGAGGUAGCACAACACCAGGUGACUGCUGCUGUCACUGCCCUGGCUCGGGCUGUGGAGCAGCUCUUGCCCACUGCAGCCUUUUUCUACCAGGACAGACCAACCCACAGCACUCACAGGACAGAAGCAGGGACUGCUGCCUCUGUGCAAGGCAAGCCCAAAGAAGAGAAGAUGAAGACAAAAGAAGAGAGACAUUGCAGCAAGAAGAAAGGAAAGAGGCACGUCAGUAAAUCUUGGAUUCACAUUCUCAUUGUGAACUGGUUUGAACUAGUAAGCUUGUAAUUGCCUAAAUCAAAAUAGGCACCUAGUCAAGAUGGCUCCUGCAUUAAUCAGCAUCAGUUAUACUUUGAAGGAGGCACUAAUGUUUCUCAUUUUGAUUUCUGUAAGGCUGUUCUAACUACCAUUUCUAAAUACGAAGAGUAACUUUUAUGUUAUGUAACAUAAAUGUAACAUUAGAGUCUUCUUUGGAAGCCCUUCAGAGUGUCACUGAUCAAAUACCACUUGCCAGCGCUGUCCCCUCUGGUGUGCAGGGGUUUGACUUCAGCUGCCAGCUGUGAGCACCUGGCAAGGCCUGAACUUUGCAGAUAAUGGUUGUGCAAUGUGGUGGAGCUGCCAGGAGUGCUUGGAUUAAGAGAGUGGCCUCAGCCACCUGAGGAAUGCCCCUUAUUAAGUGAGAGGGUGACUCUGACAGCUCAGAAAUGCCUGUGGGGUUGUCAGGGUCCUGAGGACACCCCCAGCUUCCCACAGCCCUGCCAGGAACUGAAAGGACAAAUCAUGAAGCCCAUGAAGCAAACCCAACUCUGGUCUUUGGAAGAAAGUCCCUCUUCCUAUUUUCCUCGCCGUUGCUGCAGUGUUGGUUCUGUCACUUGGCAGGGGAAGGUUCAGCAGCAGGGGAAUGGGAGUGGUUUAGGGAUGUGUAAUACAAAGGUUGGUGGCCUGAGUUAAUGUCACCAGGUUAGCAGGUCAUCAAGACCACAGGGCAUCGACCCCUGUCUCUCAGGGCAUUCAGAUCUGGAAGAAACGUGAUUAGUCCUGAUGACUGCCAGAGCUGAGACAGGUGGAGAUACUGACAGUUCCAAAGAGCUACGAAAAGAUAUCCAAACCCUGAACAUAGUCACCAAUCCAAGAAUAAGCCAACCCAGGUCUUCAGAGCUGGUGUCCCUUGUGUUCUCUAUCACACCACACAGAUCCUGGACCCAUUAGCUAGGCACAAACUUCAUGUUGCCUGGAUUUUUGGUUAAAUGGUUUAAACAUGCUGGCCUGAUGCCAAUGGCUGCUCUUGUGAGUGUGAGAAUAUGAAUGUGGCUGAGCAAAACCUGUUCUGUUUCUGUUUUUAUUUUAAUUAAAUCAAAUCACUUUCUUCCCCUUCUCCCCUCACCCUCAUCUCUCCUAAUGUUUUCUACCUUGUUUAUGCCAUGCUGGAGCAGUAUUUCCUAUAGAGGAACAAGGAGUAGUAAAGAGGACCCAGAAGCAUAAUCUUUCCGAUGGCAGGAGAGAAAGAACCUGCCAUCUGAAAGGCAGGUUUUAUUUAAAAAUCUACUGUCAGGAGAAAAGUCUCUCUUUUUCUAGAUGGAUCUUCAAAGGCCAUCCUAUCCUUCUUGCUGAUUUUGGUCACCAGUGCAGGUCACACAGCUGGAGCUCUGGCCCACUCCUUUGUAAGAGGCUUAGCUCAGGCUUCAGUGUACUUAUUGCAACCUUUCCACUUAAAUAAUUAAAGAUAAAGGGUUUUGGAGACAUCUAGUCCAUGCCUUAAGACUAAAUAUAUCCAUCCACUCUGUUGGAUGCUCAUCAGACUGGAUCUCCAGAAUACCAACUGCAUCCCCAAACUGGGGGAGGGCUCCCAACCCUGACUGGCUUCUCCUAAGGGGCAGGGCCCCAGGAUGCUGUCACAUCACCAGAGCUACUGCUCCUCAGCUGUGAGGAAGGAACUCCUGCUUCAUGCUGAGACUGAAAAGCUGCUUAGUGAGCGAAGGGUUCCCGGCUCCUUUCAGACACCCACGGACAUGGUGGAGCUGUAACCCUCCCACCCUUUUCCGAGGCAGGCAGCUCAGUGCCUGCAGUGAGGUAGGAGCUGCUGCUGCCUCUCUGUGAGACAGCAGCUGAUGGUGGCUUCCCCAUUGUAUAAAAGACAGAAAAAUGCUGCUGUUCAGCUGUGAGAAGUGGCUGUGCAGCUUGUUGUAUGUCACCUCACUGUGGAGUAACUUCAGUCUUCAUAGUAGACAGGAAGAAUAGUUUAUUUCCUUCCUCUUUACAGAGGAUGCAUGCAUUUUAUGUAUUUGUGUGCUACUAUUUUGCCCCUCUUCAGACUUUGCUUCUUGAGACUGAAUUGUUUUUCAUUGUGCCUUACAGUUUAUGUCUUCUGAACUUCUUGUAGGGCAGCAGUUUAGCAUUUAAAUGAAUGUAGUGUUUAUGAAAUGAGCUGGACUGACAGGCAUGGAAAUGGAGACUUAUGUCUUCACAGAUUAGAUGCCACAGUGGUAGGAGGAGUGAGAACUCCAUGCCUGCCUUGUGAUCUGGAACAUCUCUAGAGGCAAGAAAAGGAUGUAAUGAUGAAAUCCAUCAAAGUGGUUCAGGUUUCCUCUUUAAUCAGUAGCCUCUAGGCUGUUUCAGCCUGCUAGCAUUCAUUUGUGCCAGAGGUGGUGGUGGCUUUGUGAUACGGACAAAGCAUUGCAAUAGCAAGGAGCUGUGUUAACCAGCUCAUUUCACAUAACCUACCGGCCUUGUGGGGGCAGAGCAUCCAUGCAGGGUUCAUCUCUGGCCACAUGGAAGGCUCUCCAGCCACACCAGUCACCUUAGGCCCCUGAUAUAGCCGUAGCAAGAAAAAGACACUGAGGUUAUUAAUCAUCUCAUCCUAAGGUAGAUAUUUAAAAUAGAUCAGAUAAGACAUAUCUUUGAAUUGCCUACAGGGCAACAGGCUCAGAUGUAUUGAUAGACACUGCAGACAUCUAAAAUUAGGUGAGCUGAAUCUCUCUCACCUGUGGAGUCAAACCAGUGACACACAGGUCAAAAGCCCCACUUCCCAUGGUGAAACUUCAGAGCACAUCUUCUGCCUUUCUGAAUUUACAGCAACCUGCAAACAACCACCUGAGAGAAUAAUGAGGGUCUUCCACCAAGUGGCUGAAUAUUUUCACUGAUUUUCAGAAAUAAAAUUUAUUAUAUUUUUCUUUUUUAGUUUAGUGUCCAAAUAGUCUAGAACAGGAAUCAUUGCUUUUUGACUUCACUCAUGAAAAGCAAAUGUUUGGAUUAGGAAGCACAGAUAUUCAUCAUGGCUGUAAUAAUGAUAUUCUGCAGAGGGGAAUUUUUAUGUUGAUUCAUCUGAUACAGUUGAACUGUAAAGAUUUAUCUUACAGAUUCUUUGGCAAAUAAGAACUUCAGAACAAUGUUUAUUUUUACUCCCACGGCAUUUUUUGCCCCUUCUCUCAUUUUUGUUCCUUAGCUAAUAGCUCAUUAAUAAGGAAAAAGGUUCUUUUGAUACCGUAGCACAUCUGCUGACCCAUUUCAGUGCGAGUGCAUAUAUAACCACUUGUUUGUUUGCACUUCUACAGGUGUUACUGCUGUGCAGAUAUGGGCUGUGGUUAAAUUUCAUAAUGGAAAAUCUGACAGGCAGUUAACUAAUCCAUGAGUCAUAUUUCGUAAUAGCCUAAAGGUCUCUGAUGUUCGACCUUCAUUUGAUACCCUUGCCAUCAGGCAGUUUAUACAUAACCCAUCUGAAGAACAUUCUUUAUAUAGAUGACUGCAUGCUGCCCUUUUAUACCUGCAAGAAUGGGCACUGCACUCACUGAGCCAGGGGAAUCUGCUGGCUCUCUGUGAGCGGGACUGGAGAGCUGCACUGUGCCAGACUCACCUGGGGAAUAGGGACAGUGGGAAUCUCUCUGCUUAGCUUAAGCCUUCUGCAGGGCCUUGUUGAAAGGUGGGGAGAGGGGUGGGGAGCUGCUUUUGGACUCCACUCACCCUAACUGGACUUCUGGUUGGAACAACUCCAGUAAUGAAAGUAGCAGUGGAACUUCCAGCACUAACAACUCUGCUGAUUUCACCUGUGCGUGGCUCACUUCUGCCAGAGGCAGGAGAGACAGGGAAUGAGACAUCCUUUUGUCAGACCAUCCCAAAUGGGGAUCCCUCCAUUGCAGAGUCCAGCCAGCAUUAUCAAUGCCAGGGUGCUAAAAGGAGCACCUAAAGUGGAGAAGACCCACCUGGACAAUCAUCCCCUUUAUUUUCUAGCCAAAGGGUGAAAAAGCAGCACAGUGCUUACAAGGGGACCAUAACAUUAUUGGCUUUCAGAACUUCUCAAGUCUCAAAGGCAGCAAAGGAUGUUGGCUUUGCUGCUGUUUUCAAAGCUAAAAUAAGGCAGACACAUGACUUCAGUAACUGCAUGUGAAGUUUACAUACUGUGACUCAUCGUAAUAAAGAAACCUAAACAAAACCCCAGUGUGUCAUUGAAGCUGGAAUAUGUUUUCCAUACUAAAUUCUUUUAGGCUUGCUUUGGCUUCUAUUUUACAGAUGUAGAACAGUAGAAUAUCUCAGGGAUAUUAACUCUUUGCUGUUGCAGGACAGAAAGUUCAGGUCUUUAUGAAUGGACCUAUAUAAAACACAGGAGAAGGUUAUCUUAUUUUUUUUAAUCCUUUGGCACAACAACUUUUACAGCAGUGCCAAAUGCUGGACAAGAGCAGCUGAGAAGACAAAUGGAAAGAAGAAAGCAAAGGAAAAAGAAGGGUUGUAUCCCAAGAUUUAGCAGGCUGUCUCUUUAAGAAGCUCUGCCAUUUCCAAGUGACUAUUUUGUAAUUGUCUGUAGGAUAGCAGCAGGCACCAGGAGUGAUGUAUAUGUAGCAUGUGAGUUGCCUGCUGUAUAUGGAAAACUGCCUAGGGAGGGAUUGGCACAGUGGGAGGGGGAGCAUGACCAGGCUGGCUGCAGGCACCCGUGAGGAGGUUUGUCAUCCUGCUGAGUCAACGGGAGACACAGCACCUCCAACGGGGCUUUUGCCUGCUGGGUGUUCAAUGCUAGGCAGCUGAAGUUACGUGGUAGGAGCCUAUAAUGACAGGCUCAUAUGCAUGGAAUUCAUUUUGCAUGGAUGAUCUGGAUUACCAGCUCCAGACCUCUUCAUCUGGAGUAAAGCUGGCACUGGACUGGGCAAGGCUCACUGUGGCUGUUUCUCAGGGCUCUCCUUGCAGCCCUUCUCAAACCAAUGCAGAAGAUCUGGAUCCUGCUCAGCAACCUCAUUCGGGUGAAACUGGAUAUUGCGACAAUGUUAUUCCAGCUCCUUUAAUGUAUGGCAACUGUACAGACAAAGCACUGCCUAAUGAAGAACUCAGAGUCCCCCAUCUAAAUGCUUUUUAGAAAAGCCAAAAUCCAUGGAAUCUUCACGAAAAAUAUCCAGCAAGAUUCUUAAUUUUGAUACAAAUACACAAUUUAUGGAGAAAAAGCAAGAAGUGAUUAUCCAAACCGACAAUUGCAGCAUACAAGAACCAUUAGGUUCCAAAUUCACUGCUCCAUCCCAGAAUUCCAGACAUGCACUGAAAAUGCCAGGGCUGGGAAGUUACUCUGGCUGCUACAGAGCGGGUGCCCAAGCAUAUGAGAAUCAACAUAGAAUUAGAAACGUGAAGAAAACCCUCACUAUUUAACUGCUUUAAGGCACUGAGCAGAGAAAAAUUGGGAAGACCAGAGUCACUGCAUUCUAUGAUCCUGGCCUUCCAGACCACACAGGUGCAGAGGAUGUGUGCUGCAGAGAGGAGAUGUGAGUUUCCUUCAGAACAGCCUGGAAGCUGCUCAGGAAUCCCAGCUCUUGGGACGUGUCUCAGAGAAGUCGUUCUGCGGUCGACUGUGCCUUGCUCUUCGUGUGUUUUUAAUAGAAGCAUUUAAAAUAAUUCCAAGAUUGAGGCGUAUACAAGUUAAACUUUGAGUAGAAGAUGAAGAACAAAUAGAGCCAUGCUAAAUUGGUUUCUGGUACAGCCUGACAGUAUAUUCAAGAUGCUACCUAAUCCCAACUGAUCCCAUAAAAAGUAAUCUCCUACCACCAAGUCAGUCUUAAAUUUGUAAGUGAGGUUACUACAGUCUCAGAUUAAUUGAAUCUCUUUUCUAUCAGGAAUUGGCAAAGCCAAGAAAUUAUUUAUGGCUAAAUUAAUCAUAUUUUAUGUGUGCUAUUUGUAAUUCUCUAUUCUGUUUACAAAAUAUAAGUAAAUAUAAUCCCUAUAAAUGUGUAACCAUGUAA